RNAcentral lists this ribosomal RNA (173 nucleotides) under uncultured Ethanoligenens sp. RNAcentral describes it as "partial 16S ribosomal RNA". It matches the Rfam family "Bacterial small subunit ribosomal RNA", at positions 335 to 524 of the family's 1533-position model. The record is from RNAcentral. Lineage: Bacteria; Bacillati; Bacillota; Clostridia; Eubacteriales; Oscillospiraceae.
ACUCCUACGGGAGGCAGCAGUGGGGGAUAUUGCACAAUGGGGGAAACCCUGAUGCAGCAACGCCGCGUGAAGGAAGAAGGUCUUCGGAUCGUAAACUUUUGUCUUUGGGGACGAAGAAUGACGGUACCCAAGGAGGAAGCCACGGCUAACUACGUGCCAGCAGCCGCGGUAAU